Spinacia oleracea (spinach) is the source of this 665-nucleotide long non-coding RNA. RefSeq lists it as uncharacterized. NCBI's taxonomy places the organism in Eukaryota, Viridiplantae, Streptophyta, Magnoliopsida, Caryophyllales, Amaranthaceae. The transcript is spliced from 3 exons. The record is from RefSeq and is a predicted model, not a curated record.
UUGUCGCCACCACGGCACCGCCACCUAUACAACCGAACACCAUUCUAAAUACCUUCUCUCGUUGAAUAAUACCCAGGAGAAACCAUUAUAAUCCUAGUUCUAGCAAACCGUUGCCGAAAUCGAAACCCAAAAUCAUGUACACCAUCUUUUCUCUCUCCUCACCGACGCAGACCACCGCCACCACUGCUGCCCAGAAUCACCGUCGCCACCUUGCUGCACCCACCUGAAUCCCUCCCUGUGACACCCUUACCCUUGUGUCGCUUGCUACCUCACGCAAACCUCUGCCCAGCUCCUCCUCCUUCUUCGUACUUCUCUGUUUUUAGACCAAAAAUGCUACUUUUCCAAUUUCCUGAUUUUGUUUAGAACCAGGAGACAUAAAAGUCAAAAGUCAACCAUUAGGAACUUUUCUUAACCAAUGAGCUAAAAGAUCGUUCGGAGCUCAGGAAGAACGAUCCAUCGAACGGGAAGUAUAAAAUUUCGGUUGAGGUACGAAGAAGAUCAUGGGAUGCCUUAGAGUGAGGAUGCAACCAUCAAAUUCACGAUUGAUGUUUAAUAAAGAUAAUCUUGUAUCACUAGUAAUAAUGGAUGAACUAAUUAAACUCUAAGUCAAAUUUCAAUUAUUGAGUUGGAUUUUAAUAUUUAUGUUUAAUCAAUGUUAGGAAUAU